AUUGAACGCUGGCGGCAUGCCUUACACAUGCAAGUCGAACGGCAGCACGGGAGCAAUCCUGGUGGCGAGUGGCGAACGGGUGAGUAAUAUAUCGGAACGUGCCCAGUCGUGGGGGAUAACGUAGCGAAAGCUACGCUAAUACCGCAUACGAUCUAUGGAUGAAAGCGGGGGAUCGCAAGACCUCGCGCGAUUGGAGCGGCCGAUAUCAGAUUAGGUUGUUGGUGGGGUAAAAGCCCACCAAGCCGACGAUCUGUAGCUGGUCUGAGAGGACGACCAGCCACACUGGGACUGAGACACGGCCCAGACUCCUACGGGAGGCAGCAGUGGGGAAUUUUGGACAAUGGGCGCAAGCCUGAUCCAGCAAUGCCGCGUGCAGGAUGAA
This 382-nucleotide ribosomal RNA is filed under the name uncultured bacterium. RNAcentral describes it as "bacterial SSU rRNA". It matches the Rfam family "Bacterial small subunit ribosomal RNA", at positions 30 to 412 of the family's 1533-position model. The record is from RNAcentral.